UACGUAGGUGGCAAGCGUUAUCCGGAAUUAUUGGGCGUAAAGAGCGCGCAGGUGGUUAAUUAAGUCUGAUGUGAAAGCCCACGGCUUAACCGUGGAGGGUCAUUGGAAACUGGUUGACUUGAGUGCAGAAGAGGGAAGUGGAAUUCCAUGUGUAGCGGUGAAAUGCGUAGAUAUAUGGAGGAACACCGGUGGCGAAAGCGGGUUCCUGGACAUUAACUGACGCUGAGGCACGAAGGCCAGGGGAGCGAAAGGG
This 253-nucleotide ribosomal RNA is filed under the name uncultured bacterium. Its description in RNAcentral is "partial 16S ribosomal RNA". It matches the Rfam family "Bacterial small subunit ribosomal RNA", at positions 524 to 776 of the family's 1533-position model. The record is from RNAcentral.